UAUUGGACAAUGGGCGAAAGCCUGAUCCAGCCAUGCCGCGUGGGUGAAGAAGGCCUUCGGGUUGUAAAGCCCUUUUGUUGGGAAAGAAAAGCAGUCGGUUAAUACCCGAUUGUUCUGACGGUACCCAAAGAAUAAGCCCCGGCUAACUUCGUGCCAGCAGCCGCGGUAAUACGAAGGGGGCUAGCGUUGUUCGGAAUCACUGGGCGUAAAGCGUGCGCAGGCGGCUAUGCAAGUCAGGGGUGAAAUGCCAAGGCUUAACCUUGGAACUGCCUUUGAAACUGCAUAGCUAGAGUCCCGGAGGGGUUAGUGGAAUUCCUAAUGUAGCAGUGAAAUGCGUAGAUAUUAGGAGGAACACCAGUGGCGAAGGCGGCUAACUGGACGGGUACUGACGCUCAUGCACGAAAGCGUGGGGAUCAAAC
This 419-nucleotide ribosomal RNA is filed under the name uncultured bacterium. RNAcentral describes it as "bacterial SSU rRNA". It matches the Rfam family "Bacterial small subunit ribosomal RNA", at positions 362 to 773 of the family's 1533-position model. The record is from RNAcentral.